CAGGUGCUAUUGUGUGAAACCAGGCAAACAUGUGCUGCUGAGAUGAGGGCCCUGGGGACCUUCCAAGAGCAGCUUGAGUUUCUCAGGGGUGCUGUGCUCCUGAGCUUCUUCCUGUGUGUAACACCAGCAGUCUGGACUUGGGCAUGAAUAAAUCAGCAAGAGGUGAAUCUGGUUCAUUGAAAAGCUUGAUCCAGAGAAAUAGUCUUGGAAAUAAUUAAAAUGGUGUUGACCAACAAUGCUCAAAUGGAACGAACUGGUUUCACUGGCUUUGCCUUCCCCCCUCACAGGAUGAAGGGCAAAACACAGCAGGAAACCGAGACAAUAUUAUUAAGUGUGCAAAGGAAAAAAUGCUAUAAAUAUUUUGGUUGAAACAGCAGAGACAUUAAAGAUAAAAGUUAAAUGGAAAUAAAGGCAGUCAGAUGGUUAUUAUAUGUUGCUAUAAAAUCCAAGAGCUGUUAGAAUAGGUAGAUCAGGGUUUGCUUUUAAAAAAAUGACAGGCCUGUAAGAAAGCAAUAUUUUUGAUUGAUAGAGAUUUUAAUUGCUCUGAUAUUUAUUGGAAUGACAGCUAUUAGGAAUUGAAGCAGUGAUAAGGGAUUCUCUGAAGCUUGAGGGUAUUUGGAUAAACACCUCAAAUUUGAAUGCCUAUCAGAAGGUUAUUAAACUUAUUAAAACCUUGAAUUUUUCAUUUGGGCUAAAAGUCUUUGAAAAGAGGUUUGCUUGGUGAAUUUCUUAUGAAAUGAUAUAGAUUCCAUUAGUGAUGACUUUUUCUUUCUCUCCUCUUGAGAAGCAUGUGCAAGCUAGGUUAGGCAGGAAUUGCUGACAUGCAUAUCUGCAGAGAUUAUAGUGUUAAGGACAAAAAUUCAUGUGGCUAAAAUAUGUUCCAGAAAAAUAUAUAGCCUUAGAAUUAACAAAUGGUGUUACUUCCCCUAGCAAUUCAGGUUUUAUUUUUAUGAGACCUAAUCUGCACAUGUGCUGUUUUCCAUCUAUGGCAACUUGUGUUUUUAGAAAGUUAAUUACUUGCUUUGGAUAUGUAAUUGGAAAAUUUAGUCCUGAAAUAUUAACAGUUCUCUUCUGAAUGCCUGUGGUCCAAAAUGAUUUUCAGAACUGUUGAGCAUCCAAAGACUGAAUCAAAAAGAGGAGGAGGCUCUCAGUGUGUCAGAGACCAGGGGCUGUGAGAACUCCAAGCGCGGUCAUCACAUCACAGCUUUGCUGAUCUGUGUGUCCUUUAUUAUCCUACCGAGAUGAAAAACGAAUAGCAAAGUUAA
Molecule: long non-coding RNA, 1265 nt
Organism: Passer domesticus (house sparrow)
Lineage: Eukaryota; Metazoa; Chordata; Aves; Passeriformes; Passeridae
Exons: 3
Source: RefSeq, a predicted model, not a curated record